AACCUUAUGGACCUGCGGGCGUAUACCUGCGGAGGGAUCAUUACACAAAAAAUAUGAAGGCUGCACGCCAGUUUUGGCGGAGGCUGAAUUAUUUUUCACCCAUGUCUUUUGCGCACUUGUUGUUUCCUGGGCGGGUUCGCCCGCCACCAGGACCACACCAUAAACCUUUUUUAUGCAGUUGCAAUCAGCGUCAGUAUAACAAAUGUAAAUCAUUUACAACUUUUAACAACGGAUCUCAGA
RNAcentral lists this unclassified non-coding RNA (240 nucleotides) under soil metagenome. RNAcentral describes it as "partial contains 5.8S ribosomal RNA, internal transcribed spacer 2, and large subunit ribosomal RNA". The record is from RNAcentral.